RNAcentral lists this long non-coding RNA (330 nucleotides) under Nicotiana benthamiana. RNAcentral's name for it is "long non-coding RNA (NBEN_LNC041770)". The record is from RNAcentral. Lineage: Eukaryota; Viridiplantae; Streptophyta; Magnoliopsida; Solanales; Solanaceae.
UAACAAGAAACCUAAAACACAUCCUCCAAUUACGAUCCCAAGUAUUGCAGGUUCACGGAGUUUUAAAGAUUUCUUUUUUGGUGGGAUACUUGGAGGAGGAACUGGAGGAAGUGAAGGUGAUAAAUUUGCAGGAGAGGUAGAAUAUGAUUCUAAGGAUUUCUUUUUUGGUGGGAUACUUGGAGGAGGAACUGGAGGAAGUGAAGGUGAUAAAUUUGCAGGAGAAAGCCGGUUACCAGCAAAAGCCGAACCAGGAAAUCUUUGAAGAGAAUUGGGGACAUUUCCAGUAAAGUCAUUGUUGGAAAGAUCUAAUAGUUGCAAGCUAGGGAGAUU